GUUGCACAAGGAGCCUACUGAUACAAUUGGCAUGUUAAGAUUACAUGUCAUUGAGGUGAGUCCCGAGCAGGAGCCUCCUUUGCUGGAAGAAGAGGAGGAGAAACCUCUUGAGACUGAAGGGAAUAAGGGAGAUGAAACUGUGUCUCAUUCGUCACUUGGUGAAUCUGUGAUGGAAGCAGCUGAUAGUGAAAUUGAUAAGGUAGAGAAAGAAGCUUCAAAAGAGAAAACAAGAGCUUCAGAAGAUCCAGAGAGCAAGGACGCAGAGAUGGAUGAUUGGUUGUUUGAAUUUGCUCAGCUUUUUCGGACCCAUGUUGGUAUUGACCCGGAUGCUCAUAUUGACUUGCAUGAGCUUGGGAUGGAGCUUUGUUCUGAGGCACUUGAGGAGACAGUGACAAGUGAGGAAGCUCAAAACCUCUUUGACAAGGCUGCCUUAAAGUUCCAGGAGGUGGCUGCUCUAGCUUUCUUCAACUGGGGAAACGUUCACAUGUGUGCGGCAAGGAAAAGGAUUCCCUUAGAUGAGUCUGCUGGAAGGGAGGUAGUGUCAGCACAACUUCAAGUGGCUUAUGACUGGGUGAAGGGGAAAUAUUCUUUGGCCAGAGAGAAGUAUGAGGAGGCACUCUUGAUCAAACCUGAUUUCUAUGAGGGGUUGCUAGCACUGGGUCAGCAGCAAUUUGAAAUGGCCAAACUUCAUUGGUCAUUUGCGCUUGCUAAGAAAAUAGAUCUCUCUAGCUGGGACUCUACAGAAACUCUUAAACUUUUUGACAGUGCAGAGGAGAAGAUGAAAGCAGCAACUGAGAUGUGGGAGAAGCUGGAGGAACUGAGAGCAAAUGAGCUAAAAGAUCCAAAUGCAAGCAAGAAGGAAGAAUUGUUGACAAGAAGGAAGAAACAAGGAAGUGUUGAAGGUGAUUCAUCUGGCAGUGGUGUUCAGGGUGAGAUUUCACUGGAAGAAGCAGCUGAACAGGCAGCAGUGAUGCGAUCACAGAUACAUCUCUUCUGGGGUAAUAUGCUUUUCGAGCGAUCCCAAGUUGAAUGCAAGUUGGGGAUGGAUGGUUGGAAGAAAAACCUUGAUACCGCAGUUGAACGAUUUAGGCUUGCUGGAGCAUCUGAGGCUGACAUUUCAAUGGUUUUGAAAAAUCACUGCUCCAAUGGAGGUGCAGUAGAAGGAGAUGAGAAAAAGGAUCAGAAUGCUAAUGCUGAUGCUGGAUCAGAAAAGAGCAAACAGGCUGAUAAAGUACGAGGGAAGUAAUAAGGACUGAUAUUUUUUUGUGUGCAUGGCAGCAAUGAGUUACAUCCUUAUAUUCUUUUAAUAAUGAGUGACAUGGUACAAGGAAGUGCUUUCUUCUCAGCUGAAAGGGUUGAACUGCAAGAAAUUUUCUUUUGGAAUUGAGAAUUUUGGUCGCAACAUUGAACAAUCAACAUUGGUAUAUUUGAGCGAUAUUGCUUUUUAAGGCGUCCGUGUUUGGUUCGAGGUGAUGUUUUUCUUUGGACAUACUAAUGAGUUUCUGAUAAACAGUUUUAUGUCCUUGGGAUUUUU
This 1534-nucleotide unclassified non-coding RNA is filed under the name Hevea brasiliensis (rubber tree). The record is from RNAcentral. Lineage: Eukaryota; Viridiplantae; Streptophyta; Magnoliopsida; Malpighiales; Euphorbiaceae.